ACGCUGGCGGCGUGCCUAAUACAUGCAAGUCGAACGGUCUUUUCUAUGGAAGCUUGCUUCCACUGAGAAGAUAGUGGCGGACGGGUGAGUAACACGUGGGUAACCUGCCCAUAAGAGGGGGAUAACAUCCGGAAACGGGUGCUAAUACCGCAUAGUUUUCUUGAUCGCAUGAUCGAGAAAGGAAAGACGGCCUUUGUGCUGUCGCUUAUGGAUGGACCCGCGGCGUAUUAGUUAGUUGGUGAGGUAAUAGCUCACCAAGACGAUGAUACGUAGCCGACCUGAGAGGGUGAUCGGCCACAUUGGGACUGAGACACGGCCCAAACUCCUACGGGAGGCAGCAGUAGGGAAUCUUCCGCAAUGGACGAAAGUCUGACGGAGCAACGCCGCGUGAGUGAAGAAGGUUUUCGGAUCGUAAAACUCUGUUGUCGGAGAAGAACAAGUUGGAGAGUAACUGCUCCAGCCUUGACGGUAUCUGACCAGAAAGCCACGGCUAACUACGUG
This 501-nucleotide ribosomal RNA is filed under the name uncultured bacterium. RNAcentral describes it as "bacterial SSU rRNA". It matches the Rfam family "Bacterial small subunit ribosomal RNA", at positions 33 to 507 of the family's 1533-position model. The record is from RNAcentral.